Ictidomys tridecemlineatus (thirteen-lined ground squirrel) is the source of this 1734-nucleotide long non-coding RNA. The record is from Ensembl. NCBI's taxonomy places the organism in Eukaryota, Metazoa, Chordata, Mammalia, Rodentia, Sciuridae.
CCCAGAAAAGGCCCCACAAGUUUGAAAGAUUCGAGGAACCCACAGCGAACUCACUAAUAAAUACAUCCACUCUGUAGGGUAAAACAUCCCCAUCUAUUUACCAAAAGAUCUGAUCCGAAAAGACAGUACGAAAUGAGACUUCUCAGGAGACUGUCACACCAGGGAUAAACAAAAGUUCUGGUCAGAAGAAUGAGCUAAAUGUUUUCCAACAGAGGCCCAAGGAAGCCGACACUAUAAGGACCCUGGGAAGCUGUUCCUCCUAUGCACCCAGAGGAGGGUUGGGGGCAUUUGCCAGGUUCAGCGCAAGGGUGGGGUAAGGUGAAGGGAGGGCGUUCCUUCCAAUCCAGAGUAGCUCUAUCUAUGUCAUGGCUCCCGCAUUAAGUCUCUCCCCCAAAGUUUCCUCGUUAGAUCAAAGGUGUCAACUGUGGGGGAUGUUGAAGGGUAAGGGAAAGUAAGUUUUGAUGAGGAAAACUGAUCAGAGGAUGUCCCCGGACUCCAGCCAAGGAGCUUCAGAACGCGCGCGCAAACGCGCCCAGCACCCUAGAGCAGCCACAGGCGGUGACUGCUCAAAAGAAAUGACAAAAAGACUGGGCACGGUCUCCGAACCUCCUCCACUGGGCCCAUCACCUCAGUCGGUCUGGGCAUCUCCUUCUACUAGAUUGUACAUCUAGGGCCCAAGUCUGGGAGUGGAAGUGAUGAGGGACGCCAACUAGGCGGAAGAAGUGAGUUUGACUCGGGCUCCCGGUGACGAAAAGGAAGAUGGGAAACUCCAAGAAGAAACUCGGCUCUCGGUGGGGGAGAAAAAAAAAAGCAACUGUUUUCCUCACUCUAUUUUCUUCCAAAAGCAAGAAGAGAAAUGAAAAAACUUGCAGAGAAAAAAACUUUGUUGCAACCACAAACCUGGGACAUCCUGCCCAGGGAGAAUGCGAAGAAGAAAGAGAAGAGAUGUGAUGCGAAAGAAUGGGCCGACCAAGGCCAGCAGGGGGUCCGCUUUGGGGGCAUCAGACGAAGGAGCCCUUGCUCCCCAUGCCCUGUGAUUAGGAGCAGGGGAACUACAGCCAUCCCACGCAGCCUGGGAAAACUGAAAAUGGGAAAGACGAAGAAGAAUAGAAAUAAGGAUCUAAACUUGGAAGGCAGAAAGAGGAAAAGUUGUUUGGGGGAAAAGCAAAGUUAUAUUGUAGGAAGAAACGUUUAACUUUUCUUAAAAGUGAACUUUCGAUGACCCUCGGAGUGUGUGACUCGGCUUUAACAGACAACUGACAAUUAAAACAAACACGAGUUCACAAACUGGCCCCCGCCCGCUCUCCCAACGCGGAGGCCCAAGGGUUUCUAAAGAACCAGGCCGAUUGCGCUCAGGGGGUCGGGGCGCGCUCUCUCAACCCACGGGAUUAGAGCCACCAAGACCACUACUCCCCGCCCCCACCACCACUGCAAAGUGCCUGAGCUCACCCAGUGGCGGCUAAUAAUGCUAAUAACGCGACCCUACUCCCCGCGCCGGGGUGCGCGCUGGCCCCCCGCCAGGCACUCUUAAAGGCACAGGGGCCUGUAACCUCCCUGUUAGUCGGCAGAGACUAGCCUGCAACCUGGCCUAGGUCGGGAGGGUGGGGGGUAGAGAAUGCGCUUCUCUGAGUAGCUGGCCUCUAGUCCCAUUGCCAGAUCUCCCAACCAAAGAGUUCCCUUCCCCUUUCGAGCCCCUGCCACACACCCCCCUAGUGCCCGCGCAGUGGACGCUUA